Long non-coding RNA from Pistacia vera, 383 nucleotides. RefSeq lists it as uncharacterized. The record is from RefSeq and is a predicted model, not a curated record. The transcript has 3 exons. NCBI's taxonomy places the organism in Eukaryota, Viridiplantae, Streptophyta, Magnoliopsida, Sapindales, Anacardiaceae.
GUUGGGAGUUUAUCAGAAGGAAAGGAGGGAGAUAUAAUGGGACAAUGCAAGUGAGAACAUGGAACUUCAUCUUCCUUCAGCACUAGUUCCCACUAGAGAGAGUUAUUUUGUAAGAUACUGUAACAGUUAGCCUCUGGAACUGGGGAGUUGUUGAUGUAUCUUUGGAGAAUUUAUUCCCUUAUUCGACAUUCAAAUUUCGAAGACGACCAUCAGGCUGCUUAAUCCAAGACAUCCCAAAUGGGUGCUCUAAGGUUAUAUGGGUUGAGCAUGUAGCAGUUGACAACAGAUUAGUUCACAAUAUUUAUCGGCCUCUAGUUACUUCUGGUUAUGUUAUAGCGCAAAGCUUGGGUCGCCGCUUUGAUUAGACCAGUGAAUGGCUCGAA